AUUGAACGCUGGCGGCAGGCCUAACACAUGCAAGUCGAACGGUAACAGGAAGCAGCUUGCUGCUUCGCUGACGAGUGGCGGACGGGUGAGUAAUGUCUGGGAAGCUGCCUGAUGGAGGGGGAUAACUACUGGAAACGGUAGCUAAUACCGCAUAAUGUCGCAAGACCAAAGAGGGGGACCUUCGGGCCUCUUGCCAUCGGAUGUGCCCAGAUGGGAUUAGCUUGUUGGUGGGGUAACGGCUCACCAAGGCGACGAUCCCUAGCUGGUCUGAGAGGAUGACCAGCCACACUGGAACUGAGACACGGUCCAGACUCCUACGGGAGGCAGCAGUGGGGAAUAUUGCACAAUGGGAGCAAGCCUGAUGCAGCCAUGCCGCGUGUAUGAAGAAGGCCUUCGGGUUGUAAAGUACUUUCAGCGGGGAGGAAGGGAGUAAAGUUAAUACCUUUGCUCAUUGACGUUACCCGCAGAAGAAGCACCGGCUAACUCCGUG
This 490-nucleotide ribosomal RNA is filed under the name uncultured bacterium. RNAcentral describes it as "partial 16S ribosomal RNA". It matches the Rfam family "Bacterial small subunit ribosomal RNA", at positions 30 to 507 of the family's 1533-position model. The record is from RNAcentral.